Molecule: ribosomal RNA, 1490 nt
Filed under: metagenome
Description: bacterial SSU rRNA
Rfam family: Bacterial small subunit ribosomal RNA
Source: RNAcentral
AGAGUUUGAUCCUGGCUCAGGACGAACGCUGGCGGCGUGCUUAACACAUGCAAGUCGAACGAGAGGACAAGAGAAGCUUGCUUCUUUUGGAAUCGAGUGGCAAACGGGUGAGUAACACGUAAACAACCUGCCUUCAGGAUGGGGACAACAGACGGAAACGACUGCUAAUACCGAAUACGCUUGGAAGACCGCAUGAUCUUCCAAGGAAAGGGUGGCCUCUACCUGUAAGCUAUCGCCUGAAGAGGGGUUUGCGUCUGAUUAGGCAGUCGGUGAGGUAACGGCCCACCAAGGCAACGAUCGGUAGCCGGACUGAGAGGUUGAACGGCCACAUUGGGACUGAGACACGGCCCAGACUCCUACGGGAGGCAGCAGUGGGGAAUAUUGCACAAUGGGGGAAACCCUGAUGCAGCGACGCCGCGUGGAGGAAGAAGGUCUUCGGAUUGUAAACUCCUGUUGUUGAGGAAGAUAAUGACGGUACUCAACAAGGAAGUGACGGCUAACUACGUGCCAGCAGCCGCGGUAAAACGUAGGUCACAAGCGUUGUCCGGAAUUACUGGGUGUAAAGGGAGCGCAGGCGGGCGAUCAAGUUGGAAGUGAAAUCCAUGGGCUCAACCCAUGAACUGCUUUCAAAACUGAUUGUCUUGAGUAGUGCAGAGGUAGGCGGAAUUCCCGGUGUAGCGGUGGAAUGUGUAGAUAUCGGGAGGAACACCAGUGGCGAAGGCGGCCUACUGGGCACCAACUGACGCUGAGGCUCGAAAGUGUGGGUAGCAAACAGGAUUAGAUACCCUGGUAGUCCACACCGUAAACGAUGAUUACUAGGUGUUGGAGGAUUGACCCCUUCAGUGCCGCAGUUAACACAAUAAGUAAUCCACCUGGGGAGUACGACCGCAAGGUUGAAACUCAAAGGAAUUGACGGGGGCCCGCACAAGCAGUGGAGUAUGUGGUUUAAUUCGACGCAACGCGAAGAACCUUACCAAGUCUUGACAUCCUGCGACGGACAUAGAAAUAUGUUUUUCCUUCGGGACGCAGAGACAGGUGGUGCAUGGUUGUCGUCAGCUCGUGUCGUGAGAUGUUGGGUUAAGUCCCGCAACGAGCGCAACCCUUAUGGUCAGUUACUACGCAAGAGGACUCUGGCCAGACUGCCGUUGACAAAACGGAGGAAGGUGGGGAUGACGUCAAAUCAUCAUGCCCUUUAUGACUUGGGCUACACACGUACUACAAUGGCGUUAAACAAAGAGAAGCAAGACCGCGAGGUGGAGCAAAACUCAGAAACAACGUCCCAGUUCGGACUGCAGGCUGCAACUCGCCUGCACGAAGUCGGAAUUGCUAGUAAUCGCAGAUCAGCAUGCUGCGGUGAAUACGUUCCCGGGCCUUGUACACACCGCCCGUCACACCAUGAGAGCCGGGGGGACCCGAAGUCGGUAGUCUAACCGCAAGGAGGACGCCGCCGAAGGUAAAACUGGUGAUUGGGGUGAAGUCGUAACAAGGUA